GAUGAACGCUGGCGGCGUGCCUAAUACAUGCAAGUCGAACGCUGAAGGCGGAGCUUGCUCUUCUGGACGAGUUGCGAACGGGUGAGUAACGCGUAGGUAACCUGCCUGGUAGUGGGGGAUAACUACUGGAAACGAUAGCUAAUACCGCAUGACAACAGCUACUGCAUGAUAACUGUUUAAAAGGGGCAACUGCUCCACUACCAGAUGGACCUGCGUUGUAUUAGGUUGUUGGUGAGGUAACGGCUCACCAAGGCGGCGAUACAUAGCAGAACGGAGAGGGUGGUCAGCCACACUGGGAGUGGGACACGGCCCAGACUGCUUCAGGAGGGAGCAGUAGGGAAUCGUCGGCAAUGGGCGGGAGUCAGACCGAACAACGCCGCAUGAGUGAAGAAGGUUUUCGGGUCGUGAAGCUCUGUUGUAGGGGAAGAACGAGUGUGAGAGUGGAAAGUUCACUCUGUGACGGUAUCUGAUAAAGAAGAAACGGCUAACUACGUG
This 495-nucleotide ribosomal RNA is filed under the name uncultured bacterium. RNAcentral's name for it is "partial 16S ribosomal RNA". It matches the Rfam family "Bacterial small subunit ribosomal RNA", at positions 28 to 507 of the family's 1533-position model. The record is from RNAcentral.